GCGCGCUUAGCUCAGUGGUAGAGCACAUCCUUCACACGGAUGGGGUCGCAGGUUCAAUCCCUGCAGCGCGCACCA
RNAcentral lists this transfer RNA (75 nucleotides) under Luteolibacter pohnpeiensis. RNAcentral describes it as "tRNA-Val". It matches the Rfam family "tRNA". From Rfam's summary of the family: Transfer RNA (tRNA) molecules are approximately 80 nucleotides in length. Their secondary structure includes four short double-helical elements and three loops (D, anti-codon, and T loops). RNAcentral also lists the same sequence under 2 other names. Lineage: Bacteria; Pseudomonadati; Verrucomicrobiota; Verrucomicrobiia; Verrucomicrobiales; Verrucomicrobiaceae. The record is from RNAcentral.